Molecule: ribosomal RNA, 726 nt
Filed under: Pseudocercospora cratevicola
Lineage: Eukaryota; Fungi; Ascomycota; Dothideomycetes; Mycosphaerellales; Mycosphaerellaceae
Description: eukaryotic LSU rRNA
Rfam family: Eukaryotic large subunit ribosomal RNA
Source: RNAcentral
AAAUUUGAAAUSUGGCGCAAGCCCGAGUUGUAAUUUGUAGAGGAUGCUUCUGGGUAGCGGCCGGUCUAAGUUCCUUGGAACAGGACGUCAUAGAGGGUGAGAAUCCCGUAUGCGACUGGCUCGCACCCUCCACGUAGCUCCUUCGACGAGUCGAGUUGUUUGGGAAUGCAGCUCUAAAUGGGAGGUAAAUUUCUUCUAAAGCUAAAUACCGGCCAGAGACCGAUAGCGCACAAGUAGAGUGAUCGAAAGAUGAAAAGCACUUUGGAAAGAGAGUUAAAGAGCACGUGAAAUUGUUGAAAGGGAAGCGCCCGCAACCAGACUUUGCGGCGGUGUUCGGCCGGUCUUCUGACCGGUUCAUUCGCCGCCGUGAGGCCAUCAUCGUCUGGGACCGCUGGAUAAGACCCGAGGAAUGUAGCUCCMUUCGGGGUGCGUUUAUAGCCUCGGGUGAUGCAGCGCGUCCCGGGCGAGGUCCGCGCUUCGGCAAGGAUGAUGGCGUAAUGGUUGUCGGCGGCCCGUCUUGAAACACGGACCAAGGAGUCUAACAUCUAUGCGAGUGUUCGGGUGUCAAACCCCUACGCGUAAUGAAAGUGAACGGAGGUGGGAACUUUUGGGUGCACCAUCGACCGAUCCUGAUGUCCUCGGAUGGAUUUGAGUAAGAGCAUAGCUGUUGGGACCCGAAAGAUGGUGAACUAUGCCUGAAUAGGGUGAAGCCAGAGGAAACUCUGG